AUUGAACGCUGGCGGCAGGCCUAACACAUGCAAGUCGAGCGGUUGAGGUAGCUUGCUACCGAUGCAGCGGCGAACGGGUGAGUAAUACAUGGGAAUCUGCCUGGUAGUAGGGGACAACGUUUCGAAAGGAACGCUAAUACCGCAUACGCCCUACGGGGGAAAGGGGGGGAUCGCAAGACCUCUCGCUAUCAGAUGAGCCCAUGUCAGAUUAGCUAGUUGGUGAGGUAAAGGCUCACCAAGGCGACGAUCUGUAACUGGUCUGAGAGGAUGAUCAGUCACACUGGAACUGAGACACGGUCCAGACUCCUACGGGAGGCAGCAGUGGGGAAUAUUGGACAAUGGGGGCAACCCUGAUCCAGCCAUGCCGCGUGUGUGAAGAAGGCCUUAGGGUUGUAAAGCACUUUCAGUGGGGAGAAAGGUGAUUCACCUAAUACGUGAGUCAAUUGAUGCUACCCACAGAAGAAGCACCGGCUAACUCCGUGCCAGCAGCCGCCGUAA
Molecule: ribosomal RNA, 498 nt
Filed under: uncultured bacterium
Lineage: Bacteria
Description: partial 16S ribosomal RNA
Rfam family: Bacterial small subunit ribosomal RNA
Source: RNAcentral